This is a non-coding RNA of Vidua macroura (Pin-tailed whydah), 489 nucleotides long. Lineage: Eukaryota; Metazoa; Chordata; Aves; Passeriformes; Viduidae. The record is from the annotation of a RefSeq genome assembly.
AUGGGGAGAGGCUCCAAAAUCCACCCAAAUCCCGACCCUCGGCCCCGAAUUGUGACACUUUCUCCUCCUCCUGCUCCUGCCGGUUUCGGCCAGGUGGGCAUCGCCCAGCUCCGGCCACGCCCAUUCGCGGGCCACGCCCGGAUCCGACGCCUCCUUCCCAUGUGGGUGGGCCUCCUUCUGGGGGCCGUGACCCUGCUGGAGUCCGGGGGGGACCUCCAGCCCCCCGGGGGGUCCCUGCGCCUCCUCUGCGCGCCUCCGGCUUCGAUUUCGGGAAUUUUGGGAUGGGGCUGGAUGCGCCAGAGACCCGGGCAGGGCCUGGAGUGGGUCGCGGGCAUCUACAGCGAUGGUGGCAACAGCAGAUACGCGCCGUCGGUGCGGGGCCGGUUCAGGAUCUCCAGGGACAACGGGCAGAGCUCGGUGACGCUGACCAUGAACGGCCUCAAGGACGAGGAUUCCGGCUCCUAUUUCUGCGCCAAAUCCUCUGGUGCU